UACGUAGGGGGCAAGCGUUGUCCGGAAUCAUUGGGCGUAAAGCGCGCGUAGGCGGCCCGGUAAGUCCGUUGUGAAAGUCAAAGGCUCAACCUUUGAACGCCGAUGGAUACUGCCGGGCUAGAGUCCGGAAGAGGAGAGUGGAAUUCCUGGUGUAGCGGUGAAAUGCGCAGAUAUCAGGAAGAACACCCGUGGCGAAGGCGGCUCUCUGGGACGGUACUGACGCUGAGACGCGAAAGCGUGGGGAGCGAACAGG
RNAcentral lists this ribosomal RNA (253 nucleotides) under uncultured bacterium. RNAcentral describes it as "partial 16S ribosomal RNA". It matches the Rfam family "Bacterial small subunit ribosomal RNA", at positions 524 to 776 of the family's 1533-position model. The record is from RNAcentral.